RNAcentral lists this ribosomal RNA (375 nucleotides) under uncultured bacterium. RNAcentral's name for it is "bacterial SSU rRNA". It matches the Rfam family "Bacterial small subunit ribosomal RNA", at positions 524 to 898 of the family's 1533-position model. The record is from RNAcentral.
GACGUAGGGGGCAAGCGUUACCCGGAAUUACUGGGCGUAAAGGGAGCGUAGGCGGGAGGUCAAGUCCGGUGUGAAAGACCCUGGCUCAACCAGGGAUGAGGGCUGGAAACUGACAAUCUUGAGUACAGCAGAGGAAGAGGGAAUUACCGGUGUAGGGGUGAAAUCCGUAGAGACCGGUAAGAAGGCCAGUGGCGAAGGCGCUUUUCUGGGCUGUUACUGACGCUGAGGCUCGAAAGCCAGGGGAGCAAACCGGAUUAGAUACCCGGGUAGUCCUGGCCGUAAACGAUGCUCACUAGGUGUGGGGCGCAUAGCGUGCUCUGCGCUGAAGCAAACGCAAUAAGUGAGCCGCCUGGGGAGUACGUCCGCAAGGAUGAA